RNAcentral lists this ribosomal RNA (305 nucleotides) under uncultured bacterium. Its description in RNAcentral is "bacterial SSU rRNA". It matches the Rfam family "Bacterial small subunit ribosomal RNA", at positions 337 to 639 of the family's 1533-position model. The record is from RNAcentral.
GCCUACGGGGGGCAGCAGUGAGGAAUAUUGGUCAAUGGGCGGAAGCCUGAACCAGCCAAGUCGCGUGAGGGAUUAAGGCCCUAUGGGUCGUAAACCUCUUUUGUCAGGGAGCAAUGGCGUCCACGUGUGGGCGUAUGGAGAGUACCUGAAGAAAAAGCAUCGGCUAACUCCGUGCCAGCAGCCGCGGUAAUACGGAGGAUGCGAGCGUUAUCCGGAUUUAUUGGGUUUAAAGGGUGCGUAGGCGGACUGUUAAGUCAGCGGUAAAAGCCCGGGGCUCAACCCCGGCGAGCCGUUGAAACUGGCUG